RNAcentral lists this ribosomal RNA (375 nucleotides) under uncultured bacterium. RNAcentral describes it as "bacterial SSU rRNA". It matches the Rfam family "Bacterial small subunit ribosomal RNA", at positions 521 to 896 of the family's 1533-position model. The record is from RNAcentral.
UAAUACGUAGGGUGCAAGCGUUAAUCGGAAUUACUGGGCGUAAAGCGUGCGCAGGCGGUCCGUUAAGACAGAUGUGAAAUCCCCGGGCUUAACCUGGGAACUGCAUUUGUGACUGGCGGACUCGAGUAUGGCAGAGGGGGGUAGAAUUCCACGUGUAGCAGUGAAAUGCGUAGAGAUGUGGAGGAAUACCGAUGGCGAAGGCAGCCCCCUGGGCCAAUACUGACGCUCAUGCACGAAAGCGUGGGGAGCAAACAGGAUUAGAUACCCUGGUAGUCCACGCCCUAAACGAUGUCAACUGGUUGUCGGGCCUUCAUUGGCUUGGUAACGUAGCUAACGCGUGAAGUUGACCGCCUGGGGAGUACGGUCGCAAGAUUA